This 253-nucleotide ribosomal RNA is filed under the name uncultured bacterium. RNAcentral's name for it is "partial 16S ribosomal RNA". It matches the Rfam family "Bacterial small subunit ribosomal RNA", at positions 524 to 776 of the family's 1533-position model. The record is from RNAcentral.
UACGAAGGGGGCUAGCGUUGCUCGGAAUCACUGGGCGUAAAGCGCACGUAGGCGGAUUGCUAAGUCAGGGGUGAAAUCCUGGAGCUCAACUCCAGAACUGCCUUUGAUACUGGCGACCUUGAGUCCGGGAGAGGUGAGUGGAACUGCGAGUGUAGAGGUGAAAUGCGUAGAGAUCGGGAGGAACACCCGUGGCGAAGGCGGCCAACUGGGCCGACCCUGACGCUGAGGCGCGAAGGCGUGGGGAGCGAACGGG